Molecule: ribosomal RNA, 267 nt
Filed under: uncultured bacterium
Lineage: Bacteria
Description: partial 16S ribosomal RNA
Source: RNAcentral
CUGCUGCCUCCCGUAGGAGUUUGGUCCGUGUCUCAGUACCAAUGUGGGAGGUUAACCUCUCAGUCCCCCUAUGUAUCGUUGUCUUGGUGAGCCGUUACCCCACCAACUAACUAAUACAACGCAUGCCCAUCCAUUACCACCGGAGUUUUCAACCCAAGAAGAUGCCUCCCUGGAUGUUAUGGGGUAUUAGUACCGAUUUCUCAGUGUUAUCCCCCUGUAAUGGGUAGGUUGCAUACGCGUUACGCACCCGUGCGCCGGUCGCCGACA